AUAUCAUAUUUGUAUUUGGAAGAUGGAAGAUUAAAAAAAAAUGUUGCCUCUGGCACUUGACAGUUACCAAGUUCAGUGGUCCCAUGAAAAAGCACUGCCAUACAGAGAGAAGUUGGCAGAGUCCAACCUUCCAUGCUGACAGCUGUCGGUAAGAUAAUACUGCCUCCUGGAUCAAAUGAAAACAUAAGUAUCAGCUUUUUGCCAGAAUCACAGCAAAAGAAGAAGGAUAUGGGAAAAAUAAAUACUACAAUGGGUUCUGCUGCUGCUAACAAUUGUCCAUCCAGUCACAGAGAAUAAGCCUUAAAGCCCAUUAAUCUGUGAGUGACCUGACUCAGAGUUCACUGGAACCCAGGGGAAUCUUCCAAUGGUUUCAUUGGUAUGUAUAGAUAAUAAGCACUUUUUAAAAACAGUAGAUUAAUUUUGCCAAAAGGGAUUCUGUGAGGUGUCAGCUAUGAAAGCUGCCAUCAAGCAUUGUUAUGACACUUACAAGGACAAAGUAAUAAGCUUUGAAAAUUACAUCAUUUACAAUAGAUUAUUUACUUUUGGCUGUCACUAAUGAAAGAUUUAGAGCUCUGCCCAAGUUAUUUUGCAGAAGAACAUUAGGGGUUAUGAACUUAAAAGAACCUGUUUUAUUAGCAGGCUAAUAAGAGAUGUACUGUCAUGUGCUGUAAUGUUUUCCUUGCAGGUAAAGCCUCUACUUUGCUGACAGCAUUAUAUUGAGGAAAAAUAAAUCUAGCUACUGAAGAGGUUUUCUAAGAUGU
Molecule: long non-coding RNA, 761 nt
Filed under: Anas platyrhynchos platyrhynchos (common mallard)
Lineage: Eukaryota; Metazoa; Chordata; Aves; Anseriformes; Anatidae
Description: lncRNA (ENSAPLG00000022239.1)
Source: RNAcentral